This 395-nucleotide ribosomal RNA is filed under the name uncultured bacterium. RNAcentral's name for it is "partial 16S ribosomal RNA". It matches the Rfam family "Bacterial small subunit ribosomal RNA", at positions 523 to 918 of the family's 1533-position model. The record is from RNAcentral.
AUACGUAGGGUGCAAGCGUUAAUCGGAAUUACUGGGCGUAAAGCGUGCGCAGGCGGUUUUGUAAGACCGUGGUGAAAUCCCCGGGCUCUACCUGGGAACUGCCAUUGUGACUGCAAGGCUGGAGUGCGGCCGAGGGGGAUGGAAUUCCGCGUGUAGCAGGGAAAGGCGUAGAUAUGCGGAGGAACGCCGAUGGCGAAGGGAAUCCCCAGGGCCUGCUCUGACGCUCAUGCACGAAAGCGUGGGGAGCAAACAGGAUUAGAUACCCUGGUAGUCCACGCCCUAAACGAUGUCAACUGGUUGUUGGGGAUUGAUUUUCUCAGUAACGAAGCUAACGCGUGAAGUGGACCGCCUGGGGGGUACGGCCGCAAGGUUAAAACUUAAAGGAAUAGACGGGG